AACACUAGUAUUGUCUGUGGUGGGAUUUAACCUCAAGUCUUUUGACUCCAGAAAUAGUGCUCUUUGUAGGUCUAAGAUGAUAUUUGAUGAUAUGAAAAUUUUCUUCUCUGAAGUUUUUAUGGUAUUUCUCAACUCAGACACCCACGGACAAGUUUCGGUAACUCAGUCCCCAGCCUUUUUGUCUGGGUCCCCGGGAGAGAGCAUCACCACCACCUGCAAGACCAGUAAGAGUAUAAUUGGAAGCCAAGGCACCAGCUUCAUGCACUGGUACCAACAGAAGCCUGGCCAAGUCCUGAGGUUACUCAUUUACCACGCUUCUAUGGUGGCCUCUGAGGUCCCUGCACGGUUCAGCGGCUCUGGGUCCGGGACAGAUUUCACAUUUAUAAUCAGUAGUGUGGAAGUAGAAGAUGCUGCUGAUUAUUACUGUCAGCAGGGCUAUAAUGUUCCUUACCCACAGUUCUCUAGUCCAGAUCUUAAACAACCCUAG
Non-coding RNA from Trichosurus vulpecula (common brushtail), 487 nucleotides. NCBI's taxonomy places the organism in Eukaryota, Metazoa, Chordata, Mammalia, Diprotodontia, Phalangeridae. The record is from the annotation of a RefSeq genome assembly.